Non-coding RNA from Lepisosteus oculatus (spotted gar), 221 nucleotides. The record is from RefSeq and is a predicted model, not a curated record. Lineage: Eukaryota; Metazoa; Chordata; Actinopteri; Semionotiformes; Lepisosteidae.
GGCUCUUUGCUCAAGGAUUUGUAUACAGGAAGGAGCUUUGCAUACCUGUGCCACCUCACUGCUCCAAACACUUUAAGACUCACAGUGUGGAUCAGUCACUGCCCAGCCCUUUCAGAGUCACUGACACACAGGACAAUGAUGCCACUGAUUCUACUGUUGGGGACACUGGGGCUCUUCGCUCAAGAGUCCAGUGGGCAGAUUGUUCUGACUCAGUCUCCAGC